AUGAUGAAACAGAAGUGUGAGAUGGUAGAGAAUUUACUCCAAUGUACUGUCAUAUUUCAGGGAGUAAGGAGCAGCCGGCUGAGCCCAAACUCCAGGGUGAAAAUGAACACCUGUUCACAGCGUGCCAAGAACUCAGCCGCUGUGGGUUGGAGGGCAAGUCUUGAGAAGAUUGGCCUGGCGGGGAAAAUCACUCUGUUGCAGGCAGGAAAAAAAAUUGGACAAUCUAAGAAAAAAUACAAAGUAUGUACAGUACUACUGAAAUAAGUAUUAUUCAGACUUGUUCAUGUAAAGCUAUACUGUUGCUGUUUUGGUGAACUGCCACUUUUGAUUCCCUCUGCCUUUAGGAUUGCAACUAUCCCACGUCAGGUGAGGGGGUGAGGGGAUGAGUGGGAAGACCACUGCUGCUGCAUGGCCCUGGUUUGCCCUCAUGGAUGAGGUGUUAGGACAGAGGCCUUCUACCAGGCCUCCAGUUGUAAUUGACUCCAGGGCCCAGUUCAGCAGUGGGCACCCAAGUGCAGGAUGACGAACGGCAGGAGGAUGAGGCCCAGCUGGAGCCAAGACUGGAAAAGAGAAAGAGGGACAGGGAGGAUGAAUUCCUGGAAUUAAUCAAAGAGGACAUGAGGCUGCAGAGGGAGAUGGAAGAAAGACGUGCUGAGCUAAUGGACAGGCUGAUAUGUCUACUGGAGAAGGUUGUGGGAAAAAAACGAGUAAAGUAUUGUAAAUGCAACCCAUUGUAUGAGAGAGUUACACUUUUUAUAUGAAUGUUUGUGCAAAAUAUGUACAAAGAAUACAAAAUAAUUUAAGUUCUGUAAAUACAAGUCACACUUUAUUUGAUUUGUUGGACAAACAAUGUACUACAUUAACAGAAUGUAUGAAGUCCCGUGAAUAAAAAUCAUUUGUUAUACUCCAACUGUGUUUGAAUUAUUUUCUCAUACUAUUCAGGGGUACCUCCUCCAGGGCAGACACCUCAGCAGAAAGCUGAUCCUGCCAGAGAGCACAACUGACUGCCUCCAAACCAGUCUCCACCUCAUCUUGCACAUCAUCCUCAGGCUCAUCCUCAGGGGACACAACAUCACCAGCACUGAGGCAGAUGUUGUGCAGACCCACAUAGCAAAAUUGGUACGGCCCCGAUC
RNAcentral lists this long non-coding RNA (1133 nucleotides) under Oreochromis niloticus (Nile tilapia). RNAcentral describes it as "lncRNA (ENSONIG00000023436.2)". The record is from RNAcentral. Lineage: Eukaryota; Metazoa; Chordata; Actinopteri; Cichliformes; Cichlidae.